AUGACCCCCCUCAAGUAUCAUAUAAACGACACAUCACUGCAGGGGACGACUUCCGUCAAUUUAGGCUAUUCUUCAUCUACUGGACACAUAAAUCAAUGGACGGACAUUUGCACUGUAGAUUCAAACUGGUUAUGUGCCAAUGCUAACACAGAUUCCAUUCCAACCUCUCCCAUCACAAUGGGGAAGACCAAAUUGCCAUCAAAGGAUGUCUGACAAGAUUGUGGAUCUGCACAAGACUUGAAUGGGCUACAAGACCAUCAGCAAGAAGCUUGGUGAGAAGGAGUCAACUGUUGGGGCGAUUAUUUGGAAAUCGAAGAAAUGCAAAACAAGCAUCGAUUGGCCUGGGUCUGGAGCUCCGUGCAAGGCCUCGCCUCAUGGGGUAAGGGGUGAUCAUGAGAGAGGUGAGGGAUCAGCCCAGAAAUGCACGGGAUAAGCUUGUUAAAUAGCUUAAUGCAGUUGGUACCUCAGUCACCAAGCAAAACCAUUAGUAACACAUUACACUGCAAUGAACUGAAAUCCUGCAGCACUCACAAGGUCCCCCUGUUCAAGAAGGCACAUGUGCAGUACAGGCCCAUUUAAAGUUUGCCAAAGAACACCUUAAAUGAAUCAGAGUAGGCUUGGGAGAACGUUCUGUGGUCAGAUGAGACCAAAAUUGAGCUUUUUGGCAUUAAUUUGACUCGCCGUGUUUGGAGGGAGAGAAAUGCUGACUAUGACCUCAAGAACACCAUCCCUACAGUCAAGCACGGAGGUGGAAACAUGCUUUGGGGCUGUUUUUCUGUUAAGGGUGCAGGACGACUUCACCGCAUUGAGGGGCAAAUGGACGGGGCCAUGCAAUGUAAAAUCUUGGAUGAGAACCUCCAGAACACUGAAGAUGAGUCAUGGAUGUGUCUUCUAGCUUGACAAUGACCCGAAACAUACCGAGUGGCUCAAGAUGAUGCACAUUAAGGUCAUGGAGGGGCCUAACCAGUCUCCAGACCUCAAUCCAAUAGAAAAUCUGUGGGGGUAGAUUGAUUUACAAAU
Molecule: long non-coding RNA, 1020 nt
Filed under: Carassius auratus (goldfish)
Lineage: Eukaryota; Metazoa; Chordata; Actinopteri; Cypriniformes; Cyprinidae
Description: lncRNA (ENSCARG00000034618.1)
Source: RNAcentral